RNAcentral lists this ribosomal RNA (927 nucleotides) under uncultured Niastella sp. Its description in RNAcentral is "bacterial SSU rRNA". It matches the Rfam family "Bacterial small subunit ribosomal RNA", at positions 56 to 981 of the family's 1533-position model. The record is from RNAcentral. Lineage: Bacteria; Pseudomonadati; Bacteroidota; Chitinophagia; Chitinophagales; Chitinophagaceae.
UGCAAGUCGAGGGGCAGCGGGGGUAGCAAUACCUGCCGGCGACCGGCAAACGGGUGCGGAACACGUACACAACUUUCCUUUAAGUGGGGGAUAGCCCAGAGAAAUUUGGAUUAAUACCCCGUAACAUUAUGAGAUGGCAUCAUUUUAUAAUUAAAGCUCCGGCGCUUAGAGAUGGGUGUGCGGCUGAUUAGGUAGUUGGCGGGGUAACGGCCCACCAAGCCUGCGAUCAGUAACUGGUGUGAGAGCACGACCAGUCACACGGGCACUGAGACACGGGCCCGACUCCUACGGGAGGCAGCAGUAAGGAAUAUUGGUCAAUGGACGCAAGUCUGAACCAGCCAUGCCGCGUGAAGGAUGAAGGUCCUCUGGAUUGUAAACUUCUUUUAUAGGGGAAGAAACCCAUUUUUUCUAAAGUGGUUGACGGUACCCUAGGAAUAAGCACCGGCUAACUCCGUGCCAGCAGCCGCGGUAAUACGGAGGGUGCAAGCGUUAUCCGGAUUCACUGGGUUUAAAGGGUGCGUAGGUGGGCAGGUAAGUCAGUGGUGAAAUCUCCGGGCUCAACCCGGAAACUGCCAUUGAUACUAUCUGUCUUGAAUAUCGUGGAGGUGAGCGGAACAUGUCAUGUAGCGGUGAAGUGCUUAGAUAUGACAUAGAACACCAAUUGCGAAGGCAGCUCACUACGCGAAUAUUGACACUGAGGCACGAAAGCGUGGGGAUCAAACAGGAUUAGAUACCCUGGUAGUCCACGCCCUAAACGAUGGAUACUCGACAUACGCGAUACACAGUGUGUGUCUGAGCGAAAGCAUUAAGUAUCCCACCUGGGAAGUACGACCGCAAGGUUGAAACUCAAAGGAAUUGACGGGGGCCCGCACAAGCGGUGGAGCAUGUGGUUCAAUUCGACGCAACGCGAAGAACCUUACCUGGGCU